GUAUGGUGGUGUGAAACUGUAGUCCCAGCUACUUGGGAGACUGAGACCAGAGGAUUGCUUGAGUCCAGGAGUUGGAGACCAGCCAGGACAAUGUAGUAAGACCUUGUCUCAA
RNAcentral lists this small RNA (112 nucleotides) under Marmota monax (woodchuck). The record is from RNAcentral. Lineage: Eukaryota; Metazoa; Chordata; Mammalia; Rodentia; Sciuridae.